Long non-coding RNA from Maniola jurtina (meadow brown), 563 nucleotides. RefSeq lists it as uncharacterized. Lineage: Eukaryota; Metazoa; Arthropoda; Insecta; Lepidoptera; Nymphalidae. The transcript is spliced from 2 exons. The record is from RefSeq and is a predicted model, not a curated record.
AGCAGGAGGGCACCUCUGCCGCGCGGCGCGUGCGCAGAAUGGCGAGUGAGCACUCGGGAAUCGUUUUCACGAUCCGACGCGUGGAGUCUGCUUUUUAAAAAAAAAGAUAAAGUGUUCCUGUUGGAUAUUCAGGAACACAAUAUCCCUUUACCUGCACUACCAACUACUCCUGUGAUCUUGUAAACCCGUUAUACGGGGUUCACUGUGACCCUCAAGAUUCCGGGUACCCCUCGAAGUUCUUUGUGCUCCUUUGGUCUACGCCAGGCACGCUUACUCGUGGCACCCUCUCCUGGUGUCACGAACCUCCAGGCGCACCUCGCGGCACCCUCUUCUGGUGCCACGGACCUCUCAGCACCUGGCCGGCGGCCUGCCACCGAGCACCAACCAGCGCGCAUUCCACCUCCCUCGAAGACCAUCUCGCCGGGUCCCGCUACCUCCGGGACGUCACCGCACGGCACAGCAGGGAAGUACCGCCUACUGCAAGCCUUAGAGACUGUAGUGACGCCCGCGAAAACUCACGACCCUACCUACCUACUUACUACUAAAUAAAUUCUUGUGUUGAC